This 29-nucleotide non-coding RNA is filed under the name Mus musculus (house mouse). The record is from RNAcentral. Lineage: Eukaryota; Metazoa; Chordata; Mammalia; Rodentia; Muridae.
CAAUUUUAAGAAGGUGUUCUAAGGAUGUA